CAAAAGGUCAAAUCGAAGAAAGGCUGGCAGAGAAGAAUGAGAGUGAGUAGAUCAAGCUACGGCUACAGCUUCUUGGUGAGUUAUUUUAUUUUCCCUAGAUGUGGUCAAACAUCUGGAACCCUGUACUUCAGAUCAUUAUUCUACUAUACUACUUACUUAUCUGGAAGCCUAUUUUCCUAGAAUAAACUUUCCAAAUAGUGGAUCUCUGUGGCCCAGGUGGUCUUGAUACUUAUCAAUUAUAUUGCAAUAAGAUAGUUGCAAAUCAUGGUCAUACUAUUGAAUAUAACACAAACAUGAAGAAGGUAAAACAUCUAAAAGUACCCAAAACAAGAAAGGAUACCAUUUUCUGUAUAUUGAACAAGCUAUGUUAAUACACUGAAAUAACACUUACAUUUCAAAAUAUAGUGACUCAAGGAAACAAACGAAGAUACAGAACAAUAAAUCAUACUAAAAUUAUCACAAAAUUGAGGAAGUACAAACUUCUAGGUAUAAAAAACAGGGAUUAUUUCAAGAGUAAUGAGUGGUUUCAAAAUUAAAACAGGAUAUAAGUAGACUUACAGAAUCUCUUCCCAAAGCAGCAUAAUGUUGUAAGCCAUUACAGGAACCAUCCUAAAAUUCAUCAUAGUAGUGUUGUUAGCAGUUUUUAAAAAAUUCUCAGUAAAAGUGAUAGGAGACCAGUGUUUAAGAGACUGUAUGUAAGGGUUAUUACAGGAGAAAUACAACAAUAACUGAAUAGCUUAUAAAUAAGAGCCAUGGCUCAAGGGGUGCGUGAACUCUUGUGGAUGAAGAUCAUACUUGAUGACCUAAAAAUAAAAUAUGAAGCUCCUAUCACAUUGAUCAAUAGACAGUUAGUUAUAGCAGUUAAAACUGUUUUACCUGCAUCUUAUGCAGUAUUGGGUAGAGAUAGACCGACACUUUAUUAAAGAGAAGUUGGAUGAUGGUCUUAUAGCCACUAAGUACAUCCCUUCAAUCUUUCCUUUCCCUCUUCAACCUUUUAUGGUAUCAAGAGCAAACUAUGGCUUCAUCAUCAAGCACUGCAAACAAUUCUGAAAAUUCUUCUCCCAAACCCGAUGUUGCAUAAUCAGGAGAAUUAUGUUAUAAUUAAGUGCAUAUUCCAUUUUAUAUUUAUUAGGACAGAUUUGUUAGUGAUUUGAUUUGUACAACUUUAAACACCCAUUAUUUCUUGCUUUCAUUACCUAUUAUUUCUUUCCUUAAUUAGGUUGUAAAACAGUCUAUAAACAGAGACUAUAAUCACAUUUGUAAAAUAUCUCAGAAAUAUAUUUCAUCUAUUUCUUUCCACUCCCGAGACUCUUCUUCCUCACAUUUUUCAUACACCAAUAUCCCUUAAGCUUGAUCCAAAUAAUUUCUUGGUCUGGAGACAACAAGUCACUGCAACUCUCCACAGCCUUGAUCUUCUUCACUUCUUGGAUGGCACAUGUAUCCCACCGCGUUUCUUCUCUGCUGAUGGGGAUUCUUCUCCUUUUGUUAAUCCCAAAUAUAUCAUAUAUGAUCGCCAAGAUCAAUCCAUCCUAGCCUAGUUAUUGGCUUCCAUGACUUCCGGUAUUCUCACCAAAAUGGUUGGUCUGGAUUCUUCGCAUCAAGUUUGGCAUAAACUCCAGACUCACUAUGCAUCCCAAACCAGAGCCCAAAUCAAGAAACACAAACAGCUUCUGCGCACACCCAAAAAGGAUCGAUCUGUCUCUGCCUAUCUUCUUGAAAUCAAAAAAACUGUUGACACCUUGGCUAUUGUGGGUUGUCCCAUCUCUACCGAGGAUCACAUUGAAGUUGUUCUUGAUGGGUUUCAGUGGAUCAGAUUCUGAAGGAACACGUGUCCUUUGUUCCAUCUUCCUUCUCCCAAUCAAACUACAAUUCUGCCAAACCUUUCUCUUCAACCCAUACCUCUGGUCCUAGUAAACAAAGAUUUUCUUCCAAGGCACGUUUUUCAAACUCCAAGAACUACAACAAGCUGCCAUCUAAUACCUUUUUCUUCUCGGGUGCAAUGUCAAAUUUGUGGAAAAUAUGGGCACACUGCCCUUCAUUGCUGGCAUAGGUUUGAUUCCUCUACUCCCUCUCAAGUUAAUGCUAACUCCACUCAUUUUUCUUCGCCUCUUAGUGAUGAUGAACCAUCGAUCCUUGGUACCCAACUACUUCAUGAUCCUCUUUGGUACCCUGAUAGUGGUGCUUCUCAUCAUCUAACUUCUCACAACACUAAUCUUUCCACCAAAACACCAUACAUAGGUUCAGAAAAAGUCGCUAUAGGUAAUGGUUCACGGCUCCAUAUUACAUUUAUUGGUAUUGCCACUUAUACUGAUCUCAAUACACAUAAUACGUUCUCUUUACAACAUUUACUACAUGUUCCCACUAUAUCCAAAAAUUUGUAAGUGUUUCUCAGUUUGCACGUGAUAAUCAUGUCUUUUUUGAGUUCCAUGCUGAUAUUUGUCUUGUUAAACGUCAGGGAACAGACGAGAUUAUGCUUCAAGGACAGCUUAAAGAUGGUCUUUAUAUCUUUCCUAAUCUUGUUCAUACCGCUCCUUGUUCUGCAUACACCACUGAUGUUACACCUGGUUCCUCUACAUAUCAUUUGUGGCACUCACGUUUUGGUCAUCCCAACCUUAAGUGAUUCACCAAAUUAUGAAACACUGUAAUAUACCUUACAUUGCUAAACGUGAAUUCUGUGAUUCUUGUGUUGUCGGCAAAUCGCAUCAACUACCCUUUAUUGCUUCUCAAACUAUAUACUCUAAACCUCUCCAACUUGUUUUCAUUGAUAUUUGGGGCCCAUCUGCUACCCCAACAACUAAUGGUGCUUGUAACUAUAUUUCUUUUGUGGAUGCUUACACUAGAUAUGUUUGGUUCUACUUAAUACACACUAAAUCACAGGCUCUGAGUGUUUUCCAGUCCUUCAAAUUAUAUGUGGAAAAACAAAUUGGUUUUCAACUUUUAAGCAUUCAAACUAACAAUGCCAAAGAGUUUCUCUGUUUGAAAUCUUUUCUUUCCUCUAAUGGGAUAACCCAUCGUUUAACCUGCCCUCACGCGCAUGAACAAAAUGGUUCUGUUGAACGUAAGCGUAGGCAUAUAGUUGAUAUAGGUUUAACCUUGCUAGCACGUCUGCUUUACCCAUGCAUUUUUUGGGGCUAUGCUUUAACUACUGUUGUUUCUAUUAUAAAUGCUUUACCCACUUAUGUUUUAAACAAUCAUAGUCCAUAUUACCUCUUGUUUAACAAACACCCAGAUUAUUCUUUUUACAAAAUCUUUGGAUGUGCAUGUUAUCCGCUGCUCAUAUAAUAAACAUAAAAUGAGUUUUUGUUCUUCUUUAUGUGUUUUUCUUGGCUAUGCCUCUACUCACAAAGGAUAUCUUUGCCUCUCACCUACUGGUUGUAUAUAUAUUACUCGUCAUGUGAUUUUUUAUGAAAAUGUUUUUCCAUAUGCACUUUCGCCUAACCCUUUUUCCUUUGUUUCAUCACCUACUAAUAGUCCCUCCCCCUAGCACCCACUCUAACCAUUUUUCAGCAAUUGCCAUCUUCUGCUCCUCAACUACCAACUGAUGAACAUUUGUCUACGUCUCAUGUCUCUCAGCAAAAUACUGAGGAACUUUCCUCCUCUUCGUCUUCACCACAACCACCUAUCGUCUCCACCUGACUCGCUUUCCUCUGCUACCACUCCACCCAACAUUGUGUCUCAAAAUACUCAUCCUAUGAUUACACGUGCAAAGGCAACAUUGCUUCACCCAUGAACCUUCACUGCAACUGCGGUUUCUGUUUUACCCAAAUCCACCAAAGAUGCUUUACAUCAUCCACAAUGGUUAUCCUCCAUGCAAGAAGAAAUAAAUGCUCUAAACACUAAUAACACAUGGGUUCUCACUACUCUUCCUCCUGGAGUUCAACCAAUAGGUUGCAAAUGGAUUUUCAAAAUCAAAUACAAUCCUGAUGGAUCUUUUCAGAGGAACAAAGCCCGUCUAGUUGCCAACGGUUUUCAUAAGCAACUAGGUUUUGAUUAUUCUGAAACAUUCAGUCCUGUUAUAAAACCUGUAACCAUACGCAUUAUUCUCACUAUUGCUUUACAAUUAAAUUGGUCUGUGAAUCAAAUUGAUAUAAACAAUGCUUUCUUGUAUGGGGAUCUGGAGGAAUCUGUCUACAUGGUUCAACCCCCUAGAUUUGAAAUUGGUCCUUCUAACGUCGUUUGCAAACUCUACAAAGCCCUCUAUGGUUUGCAACAGGCACCCAGUUUGUGGUUUCACAAGCUAAUUGCAACUUUAAUUUCGCUUGGUUUUAGUCCUACCAAAAGUGACACUUCCCUAUUUCUUCAUUUUACAAAUGAUACCACCCUAUUUGUCCUAAGUUAUGUUGAUGAUAUUCUCAUUACAGGGAACUCUACACUGCCAUUCAACUCCUCAUCAAAUCUUAGCCAACAUUUUGCAUUAAAGAACCUAGGCAGUCUUCAAUACUUUCUGGGUGUUGAGGCUCAUUGGACAUCUGAUGGUGGCUUACAUCUCUCUCAAACCAUGUAUAUUUUGGAUCUUCUUCAGAAAACCAACAUGAUCUCUUCCAAGCCCCAACCAACACCAAUGCUCUCCCCUUCUCGUCUAACAAAAGAUGUCACAACUGUUGUCAAUGAUCCUUCUCUUUAUCAAUCUGUGGUUGGUUUUCUUCAAUACCUUCUCAUAACUUGACCAGAACUUGCCUACAACGUCAAUCGAGCGUGUCAGUUCAUGCAUAAUCCACAACACCACCACUGGAAAGCUGUCAAGCGAAUUUUACGUAUCUAGAUGGCACCACCACUCAUGGCCUCCAUCUUCGCUGCCCCUCUCAACUCGCGCUAAACACUUUUCAUAAUGCCAAUUGGGGUUUUGAUCCAGAUGACAGAAAAUCAACCUCAGGUGUUGUUGUAUAUCUCGGUUCUAACCCUAUUGCUUGGCUCUCAAAGAAACAAAAGGUCGUCUCCUGCAACUCUACGAAAGCUGAAUAUCACAGUAUUGUUGCCACCUUAGCUGAAAUAAAGUGGAUUCAAAAUCUGCUCACUGAACUUGGUCUUUUUUCCACUGAUCCCACCAUUUGGUCCGAUAAUGUUGUUCUUCUUGCCUCCAAUCCCAUAAUGCACUCCAAUACCAAACAUUUUGAGUUAGACCUUUACUUUGUUAGCGAUGUCAUUCAACAAAAACAACUGCAUCUCCUUCAUGUUCCUGCUACGUUACAAAUAGCUAAUAUCUUCACAAAUCCCUUAAGUGCUAACCCUUUUUCUAGUUUCUCACGUAAAUUAAUGGUGUUACCUAAAUCACACCAUUAAUUUAAGGGGGGAUGUUAGUUACAGCAGCUAAAACUGUUUUACCUGCAUAUUAUGCAGUAUUGGGUAUUAUAAAUACCCACUCUUUUCUGUUAUUUGUAAUAUUGAGAUAUACUGAAUAAUACAUCUUUCUAUCGCAUCUCUCUUUCUCUCCUUCAAUCUUUCCUUUCCCUCUUCAACCUUUUAACCUUUUAUAGACAUUUAAAAAAAAUAAAGGCUCAUUGCCUUGUUCUUUUUUUUUUCAAAAAUCUUUCAUUCUAUCAGUUGAAUCCUAUCAAAAAGUGAAAAAUAUUAACCUGAAAGCUGGAUACAUAUGACAAUGAUUUUCAGUAUGAAGAGCUUACCAUGCAAUUAGUUGUAAGAGUUUUGGUACCAAAUUUAAAUUUUUGUCUAUUCUGACUUUUCUUAUUAUUAGUAUUGUAUAAUGUAAACAUUCGGUUGAUUGUUUUCAAACGGAAUACUUUGUUGUUUGUUGCUUUCUAUUUUUUCUGUUUCUGUUUGAACUGUAUAUGGACUUUAUUCUUAAGUCUAUAUAUUGGUUUUCUUUCACUGUACUCAGACACUUGCGAAUGCAAUAAUAUUCUGUCUCUUUCUCUUAUGCUUUCUCUCUAUCUUUUACAUACCAAAAACUAUUACUUAUGAAUGUAUAGCAUAAUUUCUAUUGAUGAUCUGCAGAAAUUUUCUAUGCAUCAUAAUCUCACAGGGGAGCUUGGAGUCAGUUUGGUCACUUAUAGAAGUAGUCUGCAAAGUUAAAAUAUCUGUCUUUCAAUCCCAAGGCUUUCAAUAAAACAUUUACCUGAUGAAUUGGCAGAUUUGAGAUAACAGAAUUUGGUGACGAGCUUCUUAAGGCUUCUGACAGAUUAAUACAAGCAGCAAGGCACUGAAAAGGAUCCUCAGCCAUUAACCACCAACGAUUUCCAUUAAUAGGGUUAUCAGCAGAGUCAAAUAUAUCAUUGAGAUGAUUCUCUACAAAAGCUAGGCGGUCAUCAUAAGACAGUUUUUCAGUACCACCAGCAUAUAAAUUUGCCAAGUGUAUUUUCAGCCAGUGUAGUCCAGACUUUCCUAAUGGGCGCCCUUCAGCAAACUCAAGCAAUCCUCGACAUAGAUCACAACUUAAAUGAUUCAAAUGUGAAUGCAUGGGAUAUGCUCUACCACGGAAGUCAAUAUUGUGGGGAUAGUAAAAGCCUUCCUCUUCUUUCAUUUU
Molecule: long non-coding RNA, 6481 nt
Filed under: Phaseolus vulgaris (common bean)
Lineage: Eukaryota; Viridiplantae; Streptophyta; Magnoliopsida; Fabales; Fabaceae
Description: long non-coding RNA (PVUL_LNC004085)
Source: RNAcentral